This 116-nucleotide ribosomal RNA is filed under the name Weissella cibaria. RNAcentral describes it as "partial 23S ribosomal RNA". It matches the Rfam family "Bacterial large subunit ribosomal RNA", at positions 1 to 116 of the family's 2925-position model. Lineage: Bacteria; Bacillati; Bacillota; Bacilli; Lactobacillales; Lactobacillaceae. The record is from RNAcentral.
GGUUAAGUUAUUAAGGGCGCAUGGUGGAUGCCUUGGCACUAGGAGCCGAUGAAGGACGGGACUAACACCGAUAUGCUUCGGGGAGCUGUAAGUAAGCUUUGAUCCGGAGAUUUCCG